RNAcentral lists this long non-coding RNA (1159 nucleotides) under Equus caballus (horse). RNAcentral describes it as "lncRNA (ENSECAG00000047717.1)". Lineage: Eukaryota; Metazoa; Chordata; Mammalia; Perissodactyla; Equidae. The record is from RNAcentral.
CUCUGACUUAAAUUGUUGAGCCCUCUCAAAAGCAAGAGUCAUUUCCAUUUUGAAGUUAAGGAAAUGAAGAUGAGGAUCUCUUCUCCCAACAGUGGAAGCUAAUUUACAAUGAAAAGACUAAAUAUCCAUCUGUAACAAUGAUCAAACCCAGUCCCAGUAGGACCAUGAUGCAGGUGACAUUCUCAUCCCCUACUCUACCAGAGCAGCUGGUUCAGUUACUGUCUUGCCUCUGCACCUUCUCAGCCCUGUGAUGGCCAACUGGCCGGCUCGGCACUGAAACUAUUGGGAUUUCCUCUAGAUCUUCAGCCCUAGAUUUUCCUUGAUGACCUCCUGGCCCUCAUUCACAUGUGUGCUCUCCUGCUCCUGGUGGUUCCGCUGAGAUAAAGUAGUAUGCUUUAAUGCAGGGGUCCUGCAUUCAACAGUGUCGUCCCUGAACCAGCAGCAUCAACAUCGCCUGGGAACUUGUUAGAAACGCAAAUUCUCAGGCUCCAGCCUAGAUCCACUGAAUCAGAAACUCUGGGCAUGGGCCCAGCCGGUUGUGUUUUAACAAGCGCUCCAGGCGGUUCCAGUGCACGCUCAAAUUCAAGAACACUGCUGUAAUGUAUUGCCUGGCUCCUGGUAGGUCAGUGGCUCUUCCAAUUUUAGUAAAGUCCUUAUGGAGAAAAAAACAGAACCCUUUACUAAAUAACUGACUUGAGUAGAGGAAAUUUCAAGCACCAUAUGAGACAUUCUGGGAUGGGCAGAAAUUUCAAUGCCCCACAAAUUUUGUCCACCGUUCACUAAAAUAGUAACAAAAAAGGGGGCCUCCUUAUGGCCAAGUGGUUAAAGUUCCACGUGCUUCGCUUAGGCCACCUGGGUUUGUGGGCCAGGUCAGCGGACCUACUCCACUCAUCAGCCAUGCUUUGGAGGCAUCCCACAUACAAAAUAGAGAAAGAUUGGCAAUGAUGUUAGCUUAGGGCUAGUGUUUUUUUGUUUGUUUAUUGACAACAGAUGUUAGCUCAGGAAGAAUCUCCCUCACCAAAAACAAAACAAAAUAGUAACAAAAAGAUCUUUUUGCUAUAUUGUUUUUUUCUCUCUGUUUGUCAUACAGCCUCAAUAGGCCCCAAAGCCCAGGAAAUAUUUUUAAAAUAAAUUGUCAUAGUUUUAAGAGAAACGUUUU